GAUGAACGCUGGCGGCGUGCCUAAUACAUGCAAGUCGAGCGAAUGGAUUAAGAGCUUGCUCUUAUGAAGUUAGCGGCGGACGGGUGAGUAACACGUGGGUAACCUGCCCAUAAGACUGGGAUAACUCCGGGAAACCGGGGCUAAUACCGGAUAACAUUUUGAACCGCAUGGUUCGAAAUUGAAAGGCGGCUUCGGCUGUCACUUAUGGAUGGACCCGCGUCGCAUUAGCUAGUUGGUGAGGUAACGGCUCACCAAGGCAACGAUGCGUAGCCGAGCUGAGAGGGUGAUCGGCCACACUGGGACUGAGGCACGGCCCAGGCUCCUACGGGAGGCAGCAGUAGGGAAUCUUCCGCAAGGGACGAAAGGCUGACGGAGCAACGCCGCGUGAGUGAUGAAGGCUUUCGGGUCGUAAAACUCUGUUGUUAGGGAAGAACAAGUGCUAGUUGAAUAAGCUGACACCUUGACGGUACCUAACCAGAAAGCCACGGCUAACUACGUGCCAGCCGCCGCCGUAA
This 515-nucleotide ribosomal RNA is filed under the name uncultured bacterium. Its description in RNAcentral is "partial 16S ribosomal RNA". It matches the Rfam family "Bacterial small subunit ribosomal RNA", at positions 28 to 523 of the family's 1533-position model. The record is from RNAcentral.